UGUCGCGGCAGCUGUACGCGGGAUACCUUAGGGUAUGCCGGGUUCCUAGUACCGGUCGGUCAACCCGCGUAUAGCUGCCACCCUA
Molecule: non-coding RNA, 85 nt
Filed under: Pseudomonas costantinii
Lineage: Bacteria; Pseudomonadati; Pseudomonadota; Gammaproteobacteria; Pseudomonadales; Pseudomonadaceae
Source: RNAcentral